This 384-nucleotide ribosomal RNA is filed under the name uncultured prokaryote. RNAcentral's name for it is "bacterial SSU rRNA". It matches the Rfam family "Archaeal small subunit ribosomal RNA", at positions 341 to 725 of the family's 1478-position model. The record is from RNAcentral.
GCGAAAACUUUACAAUGCUGGCAACAGCGAUAAGGGAACCCCGAGUGCCAGGUUACAAAUCUGGCUGUCGUGAUGCCUAAAAAGCAUUGCAUAGCCAGGGCCGGGCAAGACCGUUGCCAGCCGCCGCGGUAACACCAGCGGCCCGAGUGGUAACCGUUAUUAUAGGGUCUAAAGGGUCUGUAGCCGGCCGGAUAAGUCUCUUGGGAAAUCCAGCAGCUUCACUGAUUGUCUUUCAGGGGAUACUGUCUGGCUCGAGGCAGGGAGAGGUGAGAGGUACUUAAGGUGUAGGGGUGAAAUCUUGUAAUCCUUGAAGGAAUACCAGUGGCGAAGGCGACGCACCAGAACGGACCUGACGGCAAGGGGCGAAAGCGAGGGGAACGAACA